This 589-nucleotide ribosomal RNA is filed under the name uncultured archaeon. RNAcentral's name for it is "bacterial SSU rRNA". It matches the Rfam family "Archaeal small subunit ribosomal RNA", at positions 76 to 673 of the family's 1478-position model. The record is from RNAcentral.
UAACGGCGUCUGCUCGUACACGUGGACAAUCUGCCCUGAAGUGGAGGAUAAUCCCGGGAAACUGGGGGUAAUACUCCAUAGUUCGUGAAAACUGGAAUGUUUUUCGAAUGAAAGAUCCGUCGCUUCAGGAUGAGUCUGCGGCCGAUUAGGUAGUUGUUGGGGUAACGGCCCAACAAGCCCUUCAUCGGUACGGGUUGUGGGAGCAAGAGCCCGGAGAUGGAUUCUGAGACACGAAUCCAGGCCCUACGGGGCGCAGCAGGCGCGAAAACUUUACCAUGCGGGCAACCGUGAUAAGGAAACCCCGAGUGCCAGCAUAGGCUGGCUGUCCGCCAGUGUAAAUAGCUGGUGAAGAAAGGGCCGGGCAAGACCGGUGCCAGCCGCCGCGGUAAUACCGGCGGCUCGAGUGGUGGCCACUAUUACUGGGCUUAAAGGGUCCGUAGCUUGAUAGGCAAGUCUCUUGAGAAAUCCGCCAGCUUAACUGGGGGGCGUUCAGGGGAAACUGCUUUUCUAGGGACCGGGAGAGGUGAGAGGUACUGCCGGGGUAGGAGUGAAAUCCUGUAAUCCCGGUGGGACCACCUAUGGCGAAGGC